GAAAUUGGAAAAUAGCAAAAAUCAGGGAGCGUUGGAUGGAUCCUCAUUAAUUGACGUGGAGGAUCUAAUGGUCAUGGCAUGCGCGUGCACCAAAGUCCUUAGUAAAUGCAACCACACACUGAAUUAGAAUAAGUCAUAUCAUUGGAGGGUGGAGAUUAGAUCUGGGAAUUGAGAUCAAUGGCUCACAUUGAAUUUGGCAAUGAGCCGGUGGCCAGCGCCACCGUCUUCUCCGGUGAGCUCCGGCGAAGGCCAAAAAAC
Molecule: long non-coding RNA, 258 nt
Filed under: Lathyrus oleraceus (garden pea)
Lineage: Eukaryota; Viridiplantae; Streptophyta; Magnoliopsida; Fabales; Fabaceae
Description: Pisum sativum (pea) long non-coding RNA (PSAT_LNC016429)
Source: RNAcentral